UACGUAGGGGGCAAGCGUUGUCCGGAAUUAUUGGGCGUAAAGCGCGUGUAGGCGGCCCGGUAAGUCCGCUGUGAAAGUCGGGGGCUCAACCCUCGGAUGCCGGUGGAUACUGUCGGGCUCGAGUACGGAAGAGGCGAGUGGAAUUCCCGGUGUAGCGGUGAAAUGCGCAGAUAUCGGGAGGAACACCAGUGGCGAAGGCGGCUCUCUGGGCUCUACCUGACGCUGAGACGCGAAAGCGUGGGGAGCGAACCGG
RNAcentral lists this ribosomal RNA (253 nucleotides) under uncultured bacterium. Its description in RNAcentral is "partial 16S ribosomal RNA". It matches the Rfam family "Bacterial small subunit ribosomal RNA", at positions 524 to 776 of the family's 1533-position model. The record is from RNAcentral.